AUACGUAGGGUGCAAGCGUUAAUCGGAAUUACUGGGCGUAAAGCGUGCGCAGGCGGUGAUGUAAGACAGGUGUGAAAUCCCCGGGCUUAACCUGGGAACUGCAUUUGUGACUGCAUCGCUGGAGUGCGGCAGAGGGGGAUGGAAUUCCGCGUGUAGCAGUGAAAUGCGUAGAUAUGCGGAGGAACACCGAUGGCGAAGGCAAUCCCCUGGGCCUGCACUGACGCUCAUGCACGAAAGCGUGGGGAGCAAACA
RNAcentral lists this ribosomal RNA (252 nucleotides) under uncultured prokaryote. RNAcentral's name for it is "partial 16S ribosomal RNA". It matches the Rfam family "Bacterial small subunit ribosomal RNA", at positions 523 to 774 of the family's 1533-position model. The record is from RNAcentral.